CAAUUUGGAGCUUCCGUUAGCGACAAAAUAAUCUCCACGUCUGAUAUCCGAUUGAUGCGGUAUCACCUUUGGGAUCAAGGUUUUGUUGAUAUUGGAGUUGUCAAGAAUUAUUAUAAUGCGACCGUAUCCGUGGAAAACCUCUUGGCCUUGGAAGUUUCUUAAUGUGCAGUAAUGAGUCGCUAUGAUCUUCAGUCAUCGUGACUGUACACAUGCUCAUCAGCUCAUGUUUAGC
Molecule: long non-coding RNA, 232 nt
Filed under: Elaeis guineensis (African oil palm)
Lineage: Eukaryota; Viridiplantae; Streptophyta; Magnoliopsida; Arecales; Arecaceae
Description: long non-coding RNA (EGUI_LNC005288)
Source: RNAcentral